RNAcentral lists this transfer RNA (75 nucleotides) under Anaerolineae bacterium. RNAcentral describes it as "tRNA-Ile". It matches the Rfam family "tRNA". From Rfam's summary of the family: Transfer RNA (tRNA) molecules are approximately 80 nucleotides in length. Their secondary structure includes four short double-helical elements and three loops (D, anti-codon, and T loops). Lineage: Bacteria; Bacillati; Chloroflexota; Anaerolineae. The record is from RNAcentral.
GGUGAUGUAGCUCAGUUGGUUAGUAGCGCCGAACUCAUAAUUCGGAGGUCGUUGGUUCGACCCCAACCAUCACCA